UUAACCCUUAAUUCUUUAACUCUCUACCAAAUUUUAUACUCAACUAAAUUUUACACAGUAGAGGUUAAAAACGCAUCCUUACUAAAAUUUCUACUACUAAAAACAGAUGAUACAAACACUUUUCUGUCUGAUAGCUAAAGGCCAUACUGCUCUCAACGCUCAAGCAAAAAACGCAAGUCCUUCUCCCUCGUUAUACCAACCGAGUUUGGUUCGGAAGAUACAUUUGAAGAAGGGAAAACAAAAGCAACACCAUUAGCUAAUUACUUGAGAAAACAGAUAAAGAAACACUAAUUAAGCAAUUAAAUAAUAAUACCAAGAUGAUGUUUCAUCAUAAGGAUGUGACUAUCUGAUCUAGAGAGGGCAAAGAGUGGAGCUUGUCGCGGCAGGUAGGGCAUGAAGAGUUGGAAAUCAACCACUUAUCUAUGCACACAACAUGGAACCGAUGAUUGCAUUUCGGCAGGUUCCUGAGCUUGUCGCCGUUGGCAAAGUCUGCUAAGCAAAUAGCACAACCUGAAGCAGAAGCCGUUGAUGGUGAAGAAGAACUCUGAUCAUCAGAAUAAGUAGAGGUUGGCAAAGCAACCAUUUCCUUCUUCUUUAGGCCAGUGUUGUGUCUACGAGAGACUACCCAUUCUACAGUCUCAGUUAUUGCACGGCGUGUGCACUGAAAUACACAGUGUAACAUGGAGUUGAGGCCUAGAGCACAAACCAAAGCACAUAACAUAGCAGCUAUGAUGACCAUGAUAUUGAAAUCUGCGGAAGUUGCUGGUGGCAGCUGCGGUGGUUCUUGGGCGCUUAAGGUGGGGGAUGGUGAGAUUUGAGCCAUAGAAUAAGGGAUGGGAAGUUGGUAGACAAUGAAUGGUGUUAAUAUGAUAGGGGAAAUGGUGGCAUGUGAUAUGCUUACUUGAUAAUCCACUUUCUAUCUACUUUUUCUCGCAUGAUGAUAUUGCAAGAAAGAAAAAGAAGAGGCAUAGAUUUCUCUUCCUCUUGAAUAAUUUUCUAUUGAUUGGUUGUUUUCAUCAAGUUGUAGCAGAGAACAAGAUUUUGAAG
This 1047-nucleotide unclassified non-coding RNA is filed under the name Hevea brasiliensis (rubber tree). Lineage: Eukaryota; Viridiplantae; Streptophyta; Magnoliopsida; Malpighiales; Euphorbiaceae. The record is from RNAcentral.